RNAcentral lists this unclassified non-coding RNA (239 nucleotides) under fungal sp. RNAcentral's name for it is "partial internal transcribed spacer region". The stretch from base 1 to 46 matches the Rfam family "Eukaryotic small subunit ribosomal RNA", at positions 1786 to 1831 of the family's 1831-position model. The record is from RNAcentral. Lineage: Eukaryota; Fungi.
AAGUCGUAACAAGGUAACCGUAGGUGAACCUGCGGUUGGAUCAUUAAAUUGAAAAAGAGAGAGAAGAAAUUCUCUUGAUUUUUAAACAUUUAGAGAUAAUUGAAUGUUUUUUUUGUGGAGAGAAAAGAAAAGAAAUUGUCUUUUUUUUUCCACAAAUUUAAAUAAACCAUUUUUAAUAUUAUUAUUAUUAUUAUAAAAUAAAAUAAAAACAACUUUUGACAACGGAUCUCUUGGCUCUC